UGUAACACAUGCUUCCUCCAACAAUAAAUCAGAGGUUUCCGAGUGAGGGGUUAGAGACAUGUGUUACACAACUAGACAUACCACAAUACCCAAUAAUGGUUAAAACCACCAAUCCAACCAUAUCAACCACUUUUAUUUAUGCCCAUACUCGACAUGACUCGAUUUUACUAGCUCCACCUUUCCCUCAUCUUUCUUUUAUCUAGAUGUCACCCAUUCUCGGUGUCACACAAAAUUCAUAUAAGUUCAUUCUUAUUCCUAAACACAUUCUUAGUGGUCACAAGCAAACAACAAUACACUCAAACAUCAUACAUUCAAGUCAACAACAAUCAUUCAGAAUGUUCAAGUUGAACCCAUUCA
RNAcentral lists this long non-coding RNA (357 nucleotides) under Brassica napus (rape). RNAcentral's name for it is "long non-coding RNA (BNAP_LNC012693)". The record is from RNAcentral. Lineage: Eukaryota; Viridiplantae; Streptophyta; Magnoliopsida; Brassicales; Brassicaceae.